Molecule: long non-coding RNA, 769 nt
Filed under: Salmo salar (Atlantic salmon)
Lineage: Eukaryota; Metazoa; Chordata; Actinopteri; Salmoniformes; Salmonidae
Description: lncRNA (ENSSSAG00000114499.1)
Source: RNAcentral
GCUGCUGACGUUGUAGUGGUUGGGGAUAUAUUUGUUGUCAUAGAAGCUACAGUUGUUGUUGUAGGUGCUGCAGUUGUGGUUAUCGUAGGAGCUUCAGUUGUAGUUGUUAAAGUAGGUGCUGCAGUUGUAGUGGUUGUAAGAGCUACAUAUGGUGUAGGAGCGUCAGUUGCAGUUAUUUUAGCAGAUGCUGCAGCGGUUGUCGAAGUAGGUGGUGUAGUUGUGGUCGUAGGAGCUACAGUUGUUGCACUUGGAGCUACAGUUGUGGUUGUCGUAGGAGCUACAGUUGUGGUUGUCGUAGUAGGUGUUGUGGUUGUCGUAGUAGGUGUUGUGGUUGUCGUAGUAGGUGGUGUGGUUGUCGUAGUAGGUGCUGCAGUUGUCGUAGUAGGUGCUGCAGUUGUCGUAAUAGGUGCUGCAAUUGUGGUUGUCGUAGCAGCUUCAGUUAUAAUUGUCGUAGUAGGUGCUGCAGUUGUGGUUAUCAUAGGCGCUUCAGUUGUAGUUGUUGUAGUAUGUGCUGCAGUCGUAGUGGUUGUAAGAGCUACAGUUGUUGUAGUAGGAGCUGAAGUGAUUUUCGCUGUAGCUGCUGACGUUGUAGUGGUUGGGGACAUAUUUGUUGUCGUAAAAGCUACAGUUGUUGUUGUAGGUGCUGCUGUUGUGGUUGUCGUUGUAGGUGCUGCUGUUGUAGUGGUCGUAGUAUCUAAAGUUUUAGUAGGAGUAUCAGUUGCGGUUGUCGUAGGAGCUGUGUUUGUAAUGGUCGUCGUGGGUGCUUCUG